GAAUCUUGCACAAUGGGGGAAACCCUGAUGCAGCGACGCCGCGUGAGCGAUGAAGCCCUUCGGGGUGUAAAGCUCUUUCGGCAGGGACGAAAGUGACGGUACCUGCAGAAGCAGCUGCGGCUAACUACGUGCCAGCAGCCGCGGUAAUACGUAGGGUGCGAGCGUUAAUCGGAAUUACUGGGCGUAAAGGGUGCGCAGGCGGUCUUGCAAGUCAGCUGUGAAAGCCCCGGGCUUAACCUGGGAAUUGCGUUUGAAACUACAAGACUAGAGUGCAGCAUAGGGGGGUGGAAUUCCAUGUGUAGCAGUGAAAUGCGUAGAGAUGUGGAAGAACACCGAGGGCGAAGGCAUCUCCCUGGGUUGACACUGAC
This 368-nucleotide ribosomal RNA is filed under the name uncultured bacterium. RNAcentral's name for it is "bacterial SSU rRNA". It matches the Rfam family "Bacterial small subunit ribosomal RNA", at positions 359 to 744 of the family's 1533-position model. The record is from RNAcentral.